RNAcentral lists this ribosomal RNA (255 nucleotides) under uncultured bacterium. RNAcentral describes it as "partial 16S ribosomal RNA". It matches the Rfam family "Bacterial small subunit ribosomal RNA", at positions 524 to 776 of the family's 1533-position model. The record is from RNAcentral.
UACGUAGGGUGCAAGCGUUGUCCGGAAUUAUUGGGCGUAAAGAGCUCGUAGGCGGUUUGUCGCGUCUGCUGUGAAAAACUCGGGGCUUAACUCCGGGCCUGCAGUGGGUACGGGCAGACUAGAGUGCGGUAGGGGGAGACUGGAAUUCCUGGUGUAGCGGUGAAAUGCGCAGAUAUCAGGAGGAACACCGAUGGCGAAGGCAGGUCUCUGGGCCGAUACUGACGCUGAGGAGCGAAAGCGUGGGGAGCGAACAGG